UGGGGAAUAUUGGACAAUGGGCGCAAGCCUGAUCCAGCCAUGCCGCGUGAGUGAAGAAGGCCUUCGGGUUGUAAAGCUCUUUUACCAGGGACGAUAAUGACGGUACCUGGAGAAUAAGCCCCGGCAAACUUCGUGCCAGCAGCCGCGGUAAUACGAAGGGGGCUAGCGUUGUUCGGAAUUACUGGGCGUAAAGCGCACGUAGGCGGAUUGUUAAGUCAGAGGUGAAAUCCCGGAGCUCAACUUCGGAACUGCCUUUGAUACUGGCAAUCUAGAGUCCGGAAGAGGUUAGUGGAAUUCCCAGUGUAGAGGUGAAAUUCGUAGAUAUUGGGAAGAACACCAGUGGCGAAGGCGGCUAACUGGUCCGGUACUGACGCUGAGGUGCGAAAGCGUGGGGAUCAAACAGGAUUAGAUACCCCCGUAGUCCCUGAGCGGGCUGGCAAGGCGCAU
Molecule: ribosomal RNA, 447 nt
Filed under: uncultured bacterium
Lineage: Bacteria
Description: bacterial SSU rRNA
Rfam family: Bacterial small subunit ribosomal RNA
Source: RNAcentral